Molecule: ribosomal RNA, 459 nt
Filed under: uncultured bacterium
Lineage: Bacteria
Description: partial 16S ribosomal RNA
Rfam family: Bacterial small subunit ribosomal RNA
Source: RNAcentral
CCUACGGGAGGCUGCAGUGAGGAAUAUUGGUCAAUGGUCGGGAGACUGAACCAGCCAAGCCGCGUGAGGGAUGAAGGUACAGAGUAUCGUAAACCUCUUUUGUCAGGGAACAAAGGCGGGGAUGUGUCCCCGGAUGAGUGUACCUGAAGAAAAAGCAUCGGCUAACUCCGUGACAGCAGCCGCGGUAAUACGGAGGAUGCGAGCUUUAUCCGGAUUUAUUGGGUUUAAAGGGUGCGCAGGCGGUCUGUUAAGUAAGCGGUCAAAGCCCGGGGCUCAACCCCGGCCCGCCGUUGAAACUGGCAGUCGCGAGUUGGAGAGAGGUAUGCGGAAUGCGCGGUGUAGCGGUGAAAUGCAUAGAUAGCGCGCAGAACUCCGAUUGCGAAGGCAGCAUGCCGGCUCCACACUGACGCUGAGGCACGAAAGCGUGGGUAUCGAACAGGAGUAGAUACCCGAGUAGUC